Molecule: ribosomal RNA, 253 nt
Filed under: uncultured bacterium
Lineage: Bacteria
Description: partial 16S ribosomal RNA
Rfam family: Bacterial small subunit ribosomal RNA
Source: RNAcentral
UACGUAGGCAGCGAGCGUUGUUCGGAGUUACUGGGCGUAAAGCGCACGUAGGCGGAUCGUUAAGUCGGGGGUGAAAUCCUGGAGCUCAACUCCAGAACUGCCUUCGAUACUGGCGAUCUUGAGUCCGGAAGAGGUGAGUGGAACUCCUAGUGUAGAGGUGGAAUUCGUAGAUAUUAGGAAGAACACCAGUGGCGAAGGCGGCUCACUGGUCCGGUACUGACGCUGAGGUGCGAAAGCGUGGGGAGCAACAGGG